Molecule: long non-coding RNA, 26153 nt
Filed under: Lathyrus oleraceus (garden pea)
Lineage: Eukaryota; Viridiplantae; Streptophyta; Magnoliopsida; Fabales; Fabaceae
Description: Pisum sativum (pea) long non-coding RNA (PSAT_LNC037916)
Source: RNAcentral
UUUGAUGAGACCUUUGCCCUUGUUGCUCACCUUGAGUCAAUAAGACUACUAUUAGGAGUGACUUGUUUACUUAAGUUCAAGCUAUUUCUAGACAAAAUUAAAUCAUUAAUUCAAAGGAGAAAAUCCAAUAAUUGCAUUGCUAUUUAAGGAGACUCAAACCUCGCGUUUGAGGUGUGCAUUUUUUAACGACUUUUAAUGUUAGGGUUUCUAAUUUUUUAGUCUUUGUUUGAGUUAUUGUUGUGCAUCACUCUAGCACCUCCAUUCUUAUCUUAAGGCAUAAAAGUUGGUUUCCUUGUUGAGUUGUAAAACUUUGUUCCAAGAUAUUAUUUCUAUAAGCUUGAGAACAAAGUGUUUUUGUUUCUUGUAUUCCAUGCUAAUGUUGUAUUAAUGUUGAAUCCAUUUGUGUACACCACUAUAUGUUUUAAUAACUUGGUAUAGUUGUUUGUUUGUUUUAGUUGAAUUAUAAAUUCAACAAUCAAUAAAGUUUCUAUUGAAGUUAAUCACUAUGGGUUAGUGAUUGAGAUAAAGUGAGAGGGGCUAUAAUAUUUAGGGGGGGGGGGGUCCUAAAUAGAAAGUCAAUAGGAUUAGGAAAAGGGCAUUAAAAAUAAUGAGGUUGAUGUUACUAUAAGACUAAUUGUACUAAUUCUAAGUAGUGAAUUUCCUUUCUUGGGUAGAGUUCCCCCAGACGUAGGUGUGGUUUCACCGAAUUGGGUUACCAAUCUCUUGUGUUCUUUAUUGCUUUGUUGCUUCAUCAUCUUGUAUAAGUUAAAUUGUUUUCUCUUGGUAUUUUAAAAUGGUUUUUAUUCUGGUAUACAAUGUCCCAGACAUUGUGUCUGACAUUUGUCCCUAAAAUCUGUUAUCAACCAUAAACCAAUUGUUCAAUUAUCUCAAACAUUUUGUCCAACAUUUGUCCUCAUGAGAACAAAAUUUCAAGUGAGACCAGCUAAGUCUGGACCAUUAAGUUGUUUCAACAAGGUCUUGAUAUCAAAGACACCAUAAGGGAUUUCUUAAAUGGUCUAGAAUAUAUCUACAUCGAAAACCUUUGCUUUCAAUUGUUGAACCAACAAAGAAACAUAGCUACUAGAAGGCUCGUUGCCUGAAGUAGUUGAAGAGAUUGGAGAUUUUUCAAUUGAAAUACUUCGAUUGCUCAUAAACUUCUUUAGAGCCUCCAUAGUGUUUCUAUAUUUUAUAACCUUCAGUUCUCCUGACUAAAAGAAGUGUCAGAAGUUUUGGAUGAAGAAUCUAUAAUUACAUACUGAAUUAUAAUAGCUAUAGUCGAAAAAGAAUUCUUAAUGGUUGCUGGUGAAGUAUGUGUAGUUGGAACAACAUAUGGUUGUUCUUUUCCAGUCAUAGUAGUUUGAAAUUUACUUUGGACUUGACUCUCUUGUGUUCGACCAACAUCCUGAUCCUUUUGUGGUUGAUCAACAUGCUCUUGGCUUUCUGGUGUUUGAACAUUGUUGUCUGGACCAGUUGAUUGAUGGCCAGGUUCUUCAUCUUCUGGACCCGUUGAUUGUUCAGGAUUUUGAUCUUCGACCACUUCCUUUAAUUGCUCAACAUAUGUCUUCUCGAUUGGAUUGUCAGUUAUUGGUUAUUGUGAUGGCAAGUUUACCAGAGCAUCAUACACAUUUGAGGCAUUGAUUAUUGGGGGGGGGGAGUAACAUGAAUAAGAGUCUCUUAUAAAUAAAAUAGAAGUCAACCAAUAUUGUAAAAUUGUAUGAUGUAGAUAAAAAAUGAGAUAUAAAUGAAACUUAAAGUACCUUGGAUGUUCUAUGUCUAGGGCUUUAAUCUUCACUCCCUAAACGCUCAUCAGGAGUGAAUUGCCUUUGGAAAUUUGUUUUAGUUUUGGUUAGUUGGGAGCUUUCUUCUUCUUCUUCUUCUUCUUCUUCUUCUUAUUCUUAUUCUUAUUCUUAUUCUUCUUUAUAAUCAAUACUGAUAACAAUUUUCCUUUUUGAUUUCUUUACUGGAUUAGCCUUAGGAGCUUGGAUUUUUUUCUUCCUGGCUUGUCGAAGUUUCGAGGCCUCGACAACAAUGUUUUUCUUUUUAGAUUGUCGAAGUCCUAAGGUUUUAACAUCAUCUUGCCAUUUACUCUGAUAUUUGGGAGGUAAGGGUCUAUGGGAAACCUCAUUACUUUCUUUACAACUUCCACUCCCAUCAUUUUCAUCAUCUUUAUUGUUCUUGUCUUUAAUUCUCAGAUCAGACUAACAUGUUUAUGAUUAUGAGUACAAUGAAUAUAUUUCUUAAAGAAAUUAAAUACAACAAUAAAAGUUGGAUUUUAGUCUAAACAUGUGUUCCUUCAAUUUCAAGAGAUAUGCUUUUUCCUUCCUUGCAUUUUUUUCCCGAUUUGGAGUAGUAGUUGUGGAACCACUUCCUCAUUUCGAAUCUGAAAAAUAAGAACAAGGAUAAAGAAGGGAUAAAGAAAGAAAAACCUAUUGUCAUAAAAGAGAACAAAGGUUUAGAAAGAUACUUGUUUUUACUUCUUUUGGUUGGUUGGAUUCCUCACGGUCAUCAACUGUUUCAACUUCCUUCUUUUUUGACCCUUUUGGAACGAGAGAUCGAGCUACAAAAUUUCGACACAAGUAAACAAUAUGAACGUAAAAGAAAAGUUAGUGGGUUUUAGAAGUCCAUUUAUCUCACCUUCUUAGAUGGUGGAUAUGCUUUGGACAUGUUCAAGAUCAAUCCUUAAAGGCCCUCUAUAAUUGUGUAUAUUGUACGUAUUCGAAAAUACUCUCAGAGCAGAUUUUUUAAACUCAUUCUAUAAGGCUGACAAAAACCCACAAAAAUAUCAUUUUGGAGGUGGCAACUGAAAAGCUAAGCCAAAUUCACAACUUGAUAAUGGUGAGAAUUUUGAAAUGUGAAAUUCCAAAGUAAAAUCAUAUCUAUCUUUUACGUAAGAAGGAAAAUUAAGUUUGAGAAUUUUUAGUGUUUUUUGUUUCAAAAUAGAAGCUACAUCAUGGAUAUAGGUGAGAUUUUCAGAGUAGGAAGGAGCAGUAACAUCAACAAUAGAAGGAUUUUGGAGUUGUUGUUUUGAGCCAAAAGUAUAAGCCACUUUUCUACAAUUGAAGUUAGAGGAAGAUGUGAAAAUGGAAGGUUGUGGUGUAUGAGAGUUAUUAGGAUUCAGAAGAAUAAAAGUGGUGAAACUGAAGAAAUAAGAGAAGAGGAAGUUAUAUAAUUGUUGAAAUAAGACUUUUCAUUUUUCAUAAGACUAAAAUAUCGGCGUUUUGAAACUUUGUGUUAAAACAUUAAUGAUUAAUAAUUUUCCUUUUAUUUAAUGUGGUUAAUUCUGGUGGUCCACGAUGACCUUGAAAAUCAGAGCCAUGAUGGUGGAUGCACGCAUGUAACUGACGUGAUGACUAGGUAGUAGUAGUCAUAAUGAUGGUGACGUAUGUAGAACAGUUUGAAUAGUAUUGAGAGUUACUAAAAAAAUGCCAUUUGUCUGCCAUAUUGAAAAUAUUAUCGAAAAUGACAUUUUUUCGGAGACAUUUGUUAGCCUAUGAUUUUUGACUCAGGUUGUUCGAUCAAUAAUGUGGAUAUGAGAUAAAUAUAAGUGUUAAAUGCAAGUAGUUAAAGUAUGUCUUUUGACACCAAACCACACGAUUCAACAUGAGAACUUUUCGAGUGUCAUACUAGUUUGAGACAGUUUAAGAAUCAACGACACGUGAAAACACAUUAGAAGACAGAAGCUUGCUUAACAAGAUAUGCGUUGAAUCUUGGAGGAGUGAUAGUUUUUUCGACCGUUAUUGAUGUACAUAAUAUAUAAGUAGAUUUGGUCUCUAGGACAAGGAUUCACAUUUCAUUUUAUUUUCUAUAGAAUUCACACAUCCGAGUCACAAAAUUACAAUUUUUUUUAGAUAUAUGAACUUACGUCCCACUUUUAAAUUCAAACAUUUUUAUUCAAUUGCAUUUUUUCUUCAUUUUCUUCAUUUACUUUAUCCUUUUUAAGUAUUUUUGCACUUAUUUCUUUCAACUUACAUCCAAUACUUUUAAAUUCAAAUAUAAAGCAUCACAAUACUAUUAUACUUUCUCAAACACUUCACACAAAAUAUCCUUAAAUUUUUUUCGAAUUUAAUACUUCAUAAAUCAAUAUUUAUGAUUUAUUUAUUAAAAACACAAGUUAACAUAUAUUCGCAUCUUAUAUCAAUGUUUUGACUUUUAAUAAAAUGAAUUAAUUUUCUAUUGUAAUUUUAUUUUUGACAAAAUCAUUUUUGGACAAUAAAAAAGCGUCCUCUCUUAUUUUUGGAUCGCUGCUUAACAGUAACAGUGUUGUCUCAAUUUGAAGUGGCUUUUGCUUCGUAAAAUUAAUUUCUCGUGAGGUAAAUAGCAUUUCAAUUUGCGUCUUCGAUUCAAUCUCCAUUUCUCAUUCUCCUGUAUUGCCUGAUUUCUGUUUCUUCUACUUUUCAUAACUUCCAUCUCCUUCUUUUCAAUGGUCAUCAGAUUUAUGUCUUCUGAUUCAGUUUUUACUUAUUUUGAAUUCUGAUUAUUUUUGCAUUCGAUUUUUCUUGCUUUUGUACAGUACCGUGAUUCCGCGAUUGUGCCCUAACUCAACGUUACGGUUGUUCAUGGUAUGGUUGUAUUAGAAAAUUGAACUGAACCAAACCAUAGUUAAAGUUUAUUCGAAUCAGAACCAAACCGAAUCAAAACUAUUCAUUUGGUACACCGUUUAGAAAUUCCGAACAGUUAGAAGACAAUUUUUCCAACCAUUUGUUAAAUAACCUAACCGUUAAUUUUUCUUUUGAAUAUAUAUAUUUUUUAAUUUAAAAUUAUUUUUCAAUUUCGAUUUGAUUCAGUUCGGUUCCGGUUUGGUUCUAAAACCGAUAGUACAAUAUGGUUCGGUUCAUUAACCAAACAUAACGGUUCGGUUAUUUUAACUUCAGUUUGGUUUGGUUCGGCGGUUCGAUUCGGUUCACAGUUUUUUGAACACCUCUACUCAAGAUACAUCUGACAUCAUCAAUUAUGAUUUCUAUCUACCAAUGUUUUUCUAAAAUGCAUCUUUUUUUUUUCAUUUCUUAUUAGGUGCAAUGGAUUGGGUUUUUGUGCAUAAAACUUGGGAUAAGUGGGCUUCUAUCAACAUUGGUUCUGGUGAGCAACUUUUACUUUACCUUCUUCUAAGUGAAGCACAUAUACAAUACAUAAUGAAACACCGACACCUCGAACACAAGGCGACAUCAGUAAUAAUUUGAAAAAUAAAUAAAUAAGUUGGAUUAAAUCACAAGUGUUGGUGCUGGUGUUCGACGUGUCUUUUUUCAGAGGUGUCGGUGCUACAGAUGAUAUACAUGAAUGUGUUACCGGUGACAUUUAUCUGAUCCUCACAUUCUAGGUCUUCCUUUAAAAGCUGCUUUGCUGAUUAAUUAUGACCCAACUGGACCAUCUCGCUUGUUAUCUACCAUGUAAGAAGGAUUAUGAUUCGUCGUGAUAUCAACUUUACAUUAUUGUUAUCUGGUGUUUUAUGUAUUUUAGAAAUGAAAAAUGGCUUUAGACUAUGUUUGGAUUGAUGAAAUGGAAUAGGAAUAUAGGAUGCAAUGGAAUGGUACAAACUUAUGUUUCAUUGUUUGGAUUAAUUAAAAAAAGGAUGGAAUAGAGCGGAACCAGAUGGAAUGUUUAGGGUUUAGGUUUAGGGCUCUAGAUGGAUAACCAGCAUACAUAUUGCAUAGAGUCGGUAUAAUUGAAGCUUAUAUCUUUCGGUCUUGCUGAAAUUUCUGUCAUGUGCAACUUCUGCUAGUUCUUCAUCAAUUAACCUGACCUGGAUUUUCAUGAUAAUAAAGUUUCAGUUGAUACCAGCACAGCACUGAUGUAGCUCUUUUAGAGGAGUAUUAGAGUUUCUGAUUAUGCUUUGAGGGUACCCCUGAUCUAAUUGUUAUUGUAACUUAAAAUAAGCAAAUAAUAAUACCAUUGUUGUUUGAAAUAUCUUAUUUCUCUGUCAAAUUACAAGAUUCCAAAGCUGCAUAGUACUUUUUGCUUCCCAUUUCAUGUUCAAUACUUUAUUUCACAAUUCAGUACCUCUAUGGCGAAGCUUUUAUGCAGGAGCUAACUGCUGUAUUGAGUCCACUCCAAAUUUGAUUUUUUCUUCACCUUAACUGGAAGCUUUAAGUUAUUCUUUAAUUUUGUUGGGGAAGUAUUGGAAAAUAUAUUUUUAAUGCUAUCUGUGGUUGAAAGGAAGACUUUUCUAUUGUUUUUAGGAAAUUCUGCAUGAUGCCUGGUGAUUUUGUGCUCCCUUUGUUGAAGCAUCAUUAUUUUGCAUAUUUGGAUUCUGUUUUUGUUAUUUUUUGAAACACUGGAUUUACCUAUUGGACCAUUGAAUGUUGGCAGUGCUGAGCAAGAAGGAAUAAAAGUCAAUAUCAUUGAAUUGAGACAUUUUGUCGAUUUCAUCAGACAGAAUAAGCUCCAGACAGAGAUCUUCAAUAUUGGGUCCAAUCAAUGUAAGCUUUAACUUAGCUACAUUUUUGUUUGCUUAAAUAAUUCGUUACUGGCAAGGUUGUCAAGAUCGAGAUCUUACAUAAGAUUGGGAGAGAAUAGCAAGGUCGUAAAAUAUAAAAUUGUAGUUAAGAUUGGAAGAUCCUAUUCAAGUAUAUUUUAAGUAUUUUUACAUGAUAUAUGUUAGUAGGCAAGUGUAUUAGCGGGAAAAUAACUAUUUUUCAUAUUCUUUAGACAUGUAUGUAUGGUUGGGCUUUUAUACUUUAUUACUACCACAUGGAACAUUUGUUAGACAUUAGGGACAUUUUUGGUCAAUUACUAGGAUUAUCAUAAGUCAAUUAGUUAAAACAAACCCUACAAGUGAGAUGUUUAUUCUCUAAACCCUAAAUCUAAAACUUCAUCAUUUCAAAAGGCACGCAUUCAUCCCCGACGAACAGUAAUUGUUGUACCUCUGCAUCUUGUCAUCCUUCUCACCUUUUAAUGGUGGUGGCCCAGGAAAUGGCCAAUCAUGCCGAAACUGGCAAAGAUCGCACAAAAGCAAUGAUUUUAUGAUUUUUUUUUCACAAUUUGGCUGCAACACGCGAUUCUACUUAAGAUCUAGAUCGAGAUCUUGACAACCAUUACCGCUUAGUUUGGGGGAGGGAGUAUUGUGGUAUUAUGUUUUUCGGAUCCUUUUUAUAUGCCUUCUGCUGUAAAGACAUUUGCUCACUUCUGAAGAACAUGCUAUUUUAAAGAUUCUACCUCAUGUGUAGAUGUUUAUGAGUCAGGACUCUUGGAGAGUUGGGCUAGGGUAAGCCAGAGAGGUUAAUUGAAGAACACCGUGUAUAUACGUGAUGCUUAUAUCUGAUUGUGCAUCGAACCACCCGUGGUGAUAAUGGUCUGUGUUUUUUAUAGGCAGUUGUAAACUGUACGCAGCCAUCUCAUAAAAGCUUAAGAUGUUAAUUAAGGGGAGUUAAAAAAAGAAUUACACUUAUUGCUAGAUAUAUCUGGCGAUAUGCGAAUAAAAUGCACAGUUCUUGGUAGUUUCAAUUAGACAUUUUAGCUAACUUGUAAUAAUCAUAGACAUGUGUGCGGUGGUGUGCUUCUGGCUUAUGAAUCAUGUAAUACAAAUCAUAGAACACAUGGUGGUGAAGCAAUUAACAUUCAGAUUGAAGUUGCAAAGAAUAUCAGUUGAGGCCAAUUUCAUUGGUGCAUACUAAAUUUUACGUCGCCGUAGUAGCUUCAUAAAAUCAUGAUGAGGAACUAAAUAAAUGGAGUGGUAUGAAAUUAUAUUAUUCUAAUUAACAUCUCUUUGGGGAUCCACUUUUAGAGGCCUGCUUAAGAAUUUUAAUGGUGACUCGUGUGUUUUGAAUUGGUUUGGCUUCUGUUCAAAACAACGUAAGAUCUAUAUUAUGUAGAGGGGUUGUGAAAGAAGGUUCACACGUAUAAGUUUGAAAGUUUAUGAUGUUCUGGAUUUCAGAUGGAUAGGUUGUUCGAUGUGUGAAAUUUUGAUAUUAGACUCGCUGUUUUUUGUGUUUGCAUUGUGCAACUCUGGCCACUACUGUGGUGCAUUCUAGUUCUUUUUUCAUACAUUAAUGACGUAGUUUUGGAUGGCAGACUUGGUCACCUCAAUUCAUGAGAACUGGUUUAGUGCUAGGUGCAUAAACACCUCAAGGCCUGCUGGGGAAGGUGCAAUUGUUAUGCAAACAGCAGCAUAUAUCUUGGUUGCUCUGUAAGCAUAUAUUUCUAAUUCAGCUUUUCGAUCAUGAACUGCACUUUAUUCUCCUCUCACUUUUCGUUGUAUACUUAUCUUUUGUUUCACAGGUAUGAAGGUUCCAUUGGUCCGGCAUCUCGUGCCAUGGGAGCUGCUGAUCAGCUAACUGGGCAAUUAGGGCGAAAAAAUCUUUAGAAUGGUCCUCCUCCAGCUAUGGCAGUGUUCGGCAAGACAUUAAUGACCCAGCAUAAAAGACUCUGCCAAGUCUAUCACAGGAAGAACUUUAGAAAUAGGAAUUAAUUAGUUUAUGCUUUUGUAUAGGUUGUUGAGGUUUUUAUUUUUAUGCUUUUGAAUAGGCCCCUUUCUACCUACUGCUACUCAGAAAUCUAACAUGCAGACUGUUGUGGCCAAGUGCAUUGGUGAUGUUUUGAUGAAGCUAGUGUUGAAGAACUGUAAUGUAUAUUUAAUCAUUUUAGAAUUAUAGAUUUGAAUCCUCUUAUUUCAUUUUCUCUACAUCUCUUCCUAAUCUUUUAAUUAUUAUUUUUUAAUGAAGAUAGAAAGAGAGAGUGGAAUUAAAAGAGAUAGAAAAUAACAAGUUAUAAGAUGAUCUAAUUUCAAAAAUCAUAUAUUAAACACAAUUUAGAUGAAUAGUAAUAAAUCUAAUCUAUAUUUAAUCACUUAAGAACUAUGAUUAAAUGUUUAAAAUAGUGGUUUUGUUUUAUGAUAACUAGAUGGCUAAUAAAUACACACUUAUUCGAUUUUUUUUUCAAAAUAACCAAUUUUUUGAAAAAAAAAAACGAAAAUAACCAUUUUUUCAAAAUAAAUAUAAAUAACCAAUUUGAGUUUUACAACCAACAAGAAUCAAACACACAAUCUUCUGAUCAAUAGUCAAAUUUGUUACCAUUGUACCACAAACCCUUCAUGUUAAUUUGUUUCAUCAUAUAUUUAAUAUAUCGUGUAUAAUCACAGUAGAUUAAUAAAUUACUAAAAUUUAGUUGAAAUUUUUUUCACUUAGUUUUAAAAUAAUGUAUAAUUACAGUAGAUUAAUUUGUUUCAUCUCUAUAUAUUUGUAUUAAUUAUUUUCACUUAGAACUUUUAUACCUAUUUUAAAAUUUUAAAUUAACUAAAUAUAUGUUUAAUUUUAUUUUAUCAUUGUUUUAAAAUAUAUAAGUUAAGAAUAUUAUUUAAUAUUUGCAUUUUAAUUUCUUAAGAGUAUAAUCACAAUUUUAUAUUAUAACAUUAAAUAUAUAAUAUAGAUAAUAUCCAUUCGACAUAUCAAAUAUGAACGUAGAUAGUUAAAAUAUUUAUGUUUAUUUAAAAUUGAUUAUAAUAAAACUAAAUAAAAUAUAUAUUUUUUAUUUUAUAAAAAGAAUUGUUUAAUAAAAAAGAGUAUUGUAUAAAAGAAUAUUUUAAUUUUAUAAAAAUAAACAUUAAAAAAAUAAUGGAUGAAACGUAAUUAGUGACAAAAUUAAAGACCAAUUCUAAAUAAGCUAUUAUGUACAUUGAUAUAUUUAGUGACAAAUUCAUUGACGUGAUGGAUUUUAAUAUGAUUUUUCAUUUUAUGUAAGGGACUUGACAACUAAACUAACAUCUCUAUAUAUUAAAUAAAUAUUAAUAAAUAUAAAAUUGUUAAAAAUAUAAUGUGAUUUAUAGUUAAAAUCUUUGUUACGCUCACAUUACUAUGUAUACGAUUUAUGGCAUAAAUUUUUAAAAAUAAUAGGAAGACAAAUGAAAUUUUGGUCAAUUAAAUAAUAGGAAGACAAAUGAAAUAAAAAAAAAUUGUCCCCCUUCUAAUUUUGGUCAAUUAAAAAAAAAUUCAAAUAAAAUAUUCUUAGUUGAAAUUUUUUUGCUUAUUCUAUUUUUAAUAAAUUAAAAACUUCAUUUUGAUUUAUGUUAAUAAUUUUUUUUAAUAAGACUUUUAACCUAUCAUUAUCUCCCCCUUCUCAUCUACCAAGUUUUAGUAAUUUAUUAAUCUACUAUAAUUAUACACGAUAUACUAAAUAUAUGAUGAAACAAAUUAACAUGAAGGGUCUGUGAUGCAAUGAUAAUGUGUUUGACUAUUGAUUAGAAGGUUGUGUGUUUGAUUCUUGUUGACUACAAAAUUGAGUUUUCUUUUCACAAACAACACACAGAGGGUCAUGUAGGCGCAAACAUUGACGCCUCUUCAUAAGGUGCAAUGAUUAUUUUGAAAAAAAAUUCCACUUAUUCCUUCUAUUUAGACCAAAACUAUCUUGUAAUUCCCUAUUUCUAAAAUCAGAAUUUUGGUCUGUUAUUUAUACCAUCUUUUGAUUUUUUUUUAUCCUUUAAUGCUCUAUCUAUUGAGCUCUUCUAAUCAUUGUUCUCUAUACGUGAAUAAAAGUGAAUUUAAGUCUAUUUUUUAUAACAUAUUUGUAAUAUUUAUUAGUCAUACUCAUACAUGAAUGUUCUCUUCCACCGUAAUUAUAAAUUAAAAAUAAGUUUUAAACUUAAUCACUUUUACAUGUAAAUUCUAAUUAUUUUUAAACUAUUUAAUUUCAAUAUACUUUUCUUUUAAUACAAUAAUAUUUAAUAUGAAUAGUUGAGAGAAGUAUUCUUUAAAAAUUAUGGUCAAGUUCCUGACCUACACCUCACAUUCGUUGUAACAUGAAUAAAGAGUAAUGAAAAUGGAUGCUAUUAGUUUAUUUAUUUCCUUUCAUUUUAUAGUUUUGGAUUAAAACUUUUUUACUUUUGUAAUGAGAGCAACUAAUUGUUUUAAAAAAAAACUCAAAAAUAAAAUUUACAUAUUCAAAUAAUAUUUUCUGUUCCUAAAAUUUUCAUUUUCGUGUGGUUUUACUCGAUUACCACCUUUGUAUUCUACUCCGGCUGCACGCAGCCAUAGAACACCACCGGCGACAAAACCAGAGACAACUCAACCAAACGGAACUUCCAAAAUUCAAUUCAACUUCACCGCAAGAAAUCUGAAUCAAGCUACAAUGAAACCCAACACCAGAACUAGUUUUUGUUCUUUAUUACUAUGCUUGCUUAUUUGUGUUCAAUUCAAAGCUUCUUUAGGAUCUAACAAGAGAACCGAUGAAGCAUACGUUACUCUUUUAUACGGUGAUGAAUUCUUAUUAGGCGUUCGAGUUCUCGGUAAAUCAAUUCGCAACACUCGAUCCAAUAAAGACAUGGUUGUUUUAGUCUCAGAUGGAGUUUCCGAUUUCGCCAAAAACCUUCUCCUUGUAAUCUUUCCAAUUUUGAUUUUGGUUAAACCUACCUUUUGUUAUUACAGCUUCUAAUUUUAACUAAUUUGUGAUUUUUUGCGUGUAUAUACUAUAGGCUGAUGGUUGGAUAAUUGAGCAGAUUACUUUACUUGCUAACCCUAAUCGUGUUCGUCCGAAGAGAUUUUGGGGUGUUUACACUAAGUUGAAAAUAUUUAACAUGACCAAUUACAAAAAAGGUGAUUUUUUUGAAAAUUUUAAUUUAGGUUUGUUACUAUUUAUAUAGCCUGUGUGGUUUAGGUAUGUUAAAUGUUUUUUGUUUUUGUUGAUUAUUGGUUGUUUGUGUGAUGUGAUUUAUAUGAAUUUGCAGUUGUUUACCUUGAUGCGGAUACUAUUGUGGUUAAAAACAUUGAUGAUCUUUUCAAAUGUCGGAAAUUUUGUGCUAAUUUGAAGCAUUCUGAGAGGUUGAAUUCGGGAGUAAUGGUGGUGGAGCCGUCUGGAACUGUUUUUAAUGAUAUGGUGAACAAAAUAAAAACUACUGCGUCUUACACUGGAGGUGAAGUGGAUUUUUCGGGCAUUGAUUUCAGAUUCUAUUAAUUUGUUUCUUUGGAUUUAUUGGGGUGAAGAUGUGAACUAAACCUGAUAGGGUUUUAACUAUUGUCUUCUGUUUUCCUCACUUUUGACAGGAGAUCAGGGAUUUCUCAAUUCCUAUUUCUCUGGAUUUCCCAAUGCACAUGUUUUUGAUCCAAAUUUGCCCUCGGAGGUGUUGAAGUCCAGACCCGUUCCAGAAAUGGAGAGACUGUCAACACUGUAUAAUGCAGAUGUUGGUCUUUACAUGCUUGCUAACAAGGUACGGAUACGAAAUAUAGGUCCUGAGAAGAUGGUGUCUUUCAUCUUAUCUUAAGUAAUUAGAAUCGGUGAGGCGAGAUAGAUGUUUGACUAUGUUUAAGCUUCAUAAUACUUUAUUUGCUUUUUUGAGUUCAGCUUAGAUAGAAUGUAUGUUGGGUUUGAUCGCAUUUAUCAAAUAAAUGCCUAUUUUGUCUGAAAAAGUCCCAUAUUUAUAUAUACCUAAUGGCUAAAACUGGUGUUGUUCAAUUCAUAAGAUGUGAUUUGUUUUAUAUGUAGUAUCCUAUUGAUUGAUAAUGUUUGCCAUCAUUGGAAUAAAAUAUGAGAUUCAAGUGAUCUAUAUCAAUAUUCUCAAAGGAUUUAUUUGUGGUACUGUGAACAUUUUAUUAAAAAUUUAGUAACACCAUUUCUUGUGGAGAUUUUUGUUUUAUUGUCUUAUUAUAUUUAAAGCACCUAGCCUGAAUUUCUGUCUAGGUGCUGCAACCCUUCAUGUGUGCUUACUUCUUCAAAUCUUGAAUAAUGAGUUUAGUAUGUAGAAUAUUUUAUACGCACACACUAGCAUGCAUACCAAAUAUAUAUGCUUGUCUCAGUAUUAAUUUCAAUUCAAAUUAUGUAUUAUUCUUCUAACUGUUCAUGCUGACCCGUCCAGUGGAUGGUAGAUGAAAAAGAGCUCCGUGUGAUUCACUAUACACUGGGACCUCUUAAGCCUUGGGACUGGUGGACAUCUUGGCUUUUGAAACCUGUUGAUGUCUGGCAGGUACAUGUUCAACUAAUUAUCAUCUUUUGGCCUGUUAUUAAUGUUGUAAAAAAUAGUUCUCAUCCUCAAUUUACAAAGAGGCUACACUGCCUAAGCAGUCAUGUCUACCCAGUCCAGUUGAAUCUUGUGACAAAGUUUGCUGACUUAUUUUUUCUUACUCUGGCGGGGUUUCUUCAGGAUGUAAGGGAACGACUUGGGGAAUCCCUUCCUGGAACAAGAGGCGGCCAAAAUCCUAAUGACUAUUUUCUUGUGAAAUUUCUUUUUCUGCUACCAUUCUGUGCUUUACUAUUCUGCUGCUAUCAUUCAUUUAUGAAGGUAAGCAAGCUAUCAUGAAUUUGAGUUGAUAUUCUUGUCCAAUCUCAAGAAUUAAGCGCAUAGGGCUUCAAAUAAAUCUCGGAACACUGUAUUUUCUGCAGAAUCAAGAGUACUUUGGUUCAUUUUUUAGAGGCUCGCUAUGUGAUCAAGUCAGACACCUUUAUUAUAAGAUUAGGUCAAGUGGAGCACUUGCAUAUACAAGUAUGUCAACAUCAGCAACCAAUUCAAUCCAUCAGGUUGGUUUUCUCAUUGUCUUCUGGUUUGAUGUUUGUACUCUCUCAUUCGAGGCCUUCGUAUGGCCUAAUCAUUUGAUCUUGAAGAGGGAGACAAACACAAUACCUUGUGUAACGCCUCACAAAAUCACUAGCACAGGGCCCCACAUUCUUUAUCAUUAAAUGACCUGCUCAAUGCUGUCAUGUCACAGCUUCAAUUAAGAGGAUGCAUAACCUCGGGUUGGACUUGUAUACUUCUUACAUUUUUGCAUUUGCAUCAUAUUAAAUUUGUUUCUUUGGUGUCAAGCAGCUCUCGAAUGGUUCUCAGUGCAAGGUUCCUACCUAUCUCGGCGGUGUUUCUGUCUGUGUCUGUCUAACGACUGCAGUGGUGUCCCUUGGGCUAGCUCUCUUGAUUGUUCCCCGGCAAGUGAUGCCAUGGACUGGUUUGCUUUUGAUGUAUGAAUGGACAUUCACAAUGUUUAUUAUAUUAUUUGGAGGUUAUCUCCAUUUUAUUUAUCGGUGGGGAAAAUACGUUGCAUCACGGGCAGCAUCAUCGUCACUUCCCGAGUCUUUGGAUUACGAUUCUGGAAAACGUAUGUUAUCAAGAGUAAAGCUUAUACUGUGGUGUUUUGUGUUUCCUUUUAAUUUUGACCCAGAGAUGCUUUUUACUUUUUUCAGUGAAUUACUUUUAUACUGUAUUUACAGGUCAUCAGCGACAGAUGUCAUCGUGUGAUGUUGCUACGUGGUACUAUGGUUUAGGGAUGGCCUUGUUGGCCAUUGGCGCUCCAUCUUUGCCUUGUCUUUUUGGAAUAACUGCCUUAUUUUUAAGGUAAUUUGUGUUCUACUAUAGAAUCUUUUCUAGAAUCAUACAUUACCAUGGACUCUCGGCCUUUACUAAUUGCACUUGCAAUCUUGCAUUUUGUGUCCUUAAUUCCAAGUAGUUUUGAUAAGAAAACUGCGUUGUUGUUCGAUAUUUCUUUUCAAGUUACACUUAAACAUUUUAUUAUUCAAAUUGUAACAGGUUAGGUUUGAUGGUUGUUGGGGGCAUCAUUUUGGCAUCUUUCAUGACAUAUGCUUCAGAACAUCUUGCUAUCAGGUCAUUUCUUAAAGGACUUGAUGAUUGGGAUAUUGCUCCAAAUAGGAGCUUGUGUCUGUUAUGUUGAUUUUUGUUACAAUAGGAAGUGAUGUAAGACCAUAGUUUUUACAUCUUUCAGCCUAGAUAUGUAUUGUUGUUCUAGUUGAAGGUGUAUAUAAAUGAAUUUUUGUAUAUCUGGCAUUGUAUUUGCCUAGGUUUUGUUGUAAUAUUAUUUUUAUUUAUUCUUGAAAAACAGUGAUCCAUGAUUAACCUUUCAUGACAUCCUUCAAAUUUCAAAAUCUAGUUACAUUACUGUGUGGCCUAUGCACCUUUUUUUGAUGCUAUUUUUGUUCCCGGCACCAAAUGCCAUGUUAAGUUAUCAUUUUUUUUAUAAGCAUGUCAAGUUGUCAUUUAAUCACAACUUUGAAUGACUGCAUUUCUUAAGCCAUGGCAAUGACAGCAAUUCUAGCAUGAACUAGUAAUUACAUGUUCUUGUUGUCAUAUCCUUGUGGUUUCAUUUUAGACAUUUUACGUUGAGUCUCAUGUUGAACUCGGGUCGUCCCAUUUCUUUCUUUUUGCAAAUAUUUUAACUCAGUAUAUGUUAGCCACUACAUGAAUAUCAAGAAAAGAAAAACAAAAACAUUAAGGAAAGAAAGAAUGUUUAAUUGUGUUCGUAGAAUAUUGUUAUAGAGAAAAAGGAAUAUUUUUACACUGUAACGAACCAACGUUUAAACCACGUUUUUAUUUUUUAAAUACUUCUAUAACUUACAAAUUUAAAGAUUUUCAAAUCACGUUUUUAUUUUCUAAAUACUUAUAUGACUUACAAAUCUAAAGGUUUUAAUUGCAUGUAUAUGUAGAAAAAUUUAACUCGGACCCGUCAUUUAUUUAGCUACUCCUAGAUUAUACUUAUUAUUAAAAUGCCCUUGUAUAAAUAAUAUUUUAAAACUUAAAAAUGUUUAAAAAAUGAUUAAUAGAACCAUUUUACAAAGUCUUUCGGUACAUAAUAAAAAUUUAAAAAUGUAAAAAAAAUUGACUAUCAGAAUUUUUUUUCAAAGUCUUUCGGUACACAAAAUAAAAGUUAAUGUUAAAAACUGAGUAUUUGAACUCUUUUGCAAAAUCUUUGAUACGUAAAAUAAAAGGAACGUGCUCUGAUAUUAUAAAAUAUUUUACAUUAUCAACCAAUGAGGAGCCUACAUCUUUUCAAAUCAUGCUUUUAUUUUCUAAAUAUCAACCUGCCUUAACAAAUUUAAAGAUUUUAAUUAGAAUAUAUAUAUAUAUAUUACUUUACAUCGACUAUACACGACCUUUAAAUUCAUUGUUAUAAAUUUUGUAAAAUAAGAGACUACUAUAAAACCAAGAAUGAAAAUUCUUCUCCUGCCCCUUAAUCUCUCCGGCUCUUGAAAUUGACAAGUAUUCUAUGAAAUAUGAAAUUGGGAGUUGUUGAGAAAAUUGAAUAUUUAAAUCAAACUAAAAAAAUACGAUGAUAUUUUAUAUUUAUCAAAAUAGUGUAUCUUUACAUGAAUCCAACAAUGAGGGUAUUUAUACUACUAAAAAUUACAAUUUUUACAUAAAUAUAAUAAUUUAUAUAUUUUAAGUUGACAUUGUAAAUAGACAUUACUAUUUAAAGUUGACACUUUGAUAGAUAAUUCAAAUUAUUAUUUUAAGUUACAUUUUAGAUAGAUAUUUUAAAAUAAUAAUAAUACGCGUGUUUAAAAUAAUUAGUAUUUUCUAAUUUCUUAUAACAUCCCCCUUUUGAAAUAUCUAUCAUGAUGCUCCAUUGAUGUCUUGUCAUGGAGAAUCUUAAGGAAACAUAUAUUGUCUCGUUAAAAACCUUAUUAGGAAAAUUCCAUUGAGAUAAAAACUUUAAUAAGGGAAAAAAGAGUAUAACUCUUCCUCAACCAAACACAUAUAGUUCUUCUUCAAGGAUUUCAAAGAUGACAUAUUCCAAUAUUUUGUACAUGCUUCUUGAAAACGGAUGUAGGGAGUGCCUUUGUGAAGGGAUUCUCCACAUUUGUCACUCGAACGAACAUAUUGAAUAUCAACCUCUUUGUUUCUUGCAAAUCCUUGUGUGAAUGAGAAGAACUUUGGAGGAAUAUGAUUGAUUUUAUCACUUUUGAUGUAACCUUCUUUCAUCUGGGUAACACAUGUAGCAUUGUCUUCGAACAAAAUUGUUGGAUUCUUAUCAGUUGGUAAACCAGACGUUUCUUGAAUAUGUCGAAUAAAUCUUAACCAUUUACACUCUUUACUUGCUUCAUGAAGGGAAAUUACUUCAACAUGAUUCGAAGUUGCUACAAGUGUUUGCUUUUGGGAUCUCCAUGAUAUUGCAAUGUCACAAUAUGUAAACACAUAUCCAGUAUGUGAUUUAGCAUUAUGUGGAUCUGAAAAAUAUCCUACAUCUGCAUAACUAAGCAAAACUGGUUUUGUACUAUUAGAAUAAAAUGAACUAAGAUUAGACGUACAUCGGAGAUAUCGAAAUGUAUGUUUUAUUCCUUUCCAAUGUCUCUUUGUAGGACAUGAACUGAAUCUUGCUAGUGAAUUCACUGCAAAAGUUAUAUCAGAUCUUGUACAAUUAGCAAGGUACAUGAGUGUCCCAAUAACACUGAGGUAUGAUACUUCAUAGCCAAGAUCCUCUUUAUUAUCUUCCAUAGUUCUAAAUGGACCCCUUUCAACAUUAAGUGUUAUACCCAUAUGUACACCCGAGAAUUCUCAAAACCGAGUUAUAAGUCGUUAGGACCGAGAAUGAUUAAACCAAACACCAGAAAUAUUAUGAUAGUCGAGAUGGGUACUAUGACCAGUUAAUGUCUGUGCCAUGAUGUUCACUCAUUUGUAACAAUAAAGGGAUAUUUAAGGGCAUGCAACAAUUACGAUAUUAUGGCUUAGACCAUUACAACAAUUCAUUAAGGACAUUACACCAUUAAUCCGGAGGUUGAAAAAGUUAGGAAAUUAACUGACCAUUAAGGAAGUCUAGUUCCAUAAAAAAUGAGUAAUCCUAACAUCAUAAAGGGGGGAUGUGGCCGAGGAAUAACACAAAAAGGAGGAAACAAGUGAAAAACCUUGGACCACCAACAAUGGUGGCCAUUCAUCCCUUCCUAAAAACGUCUAAAACACAAAAAUCUCUUAACUAUUGUGAUCCCACCUGAUCAGCUUCAGGGGGAUUAACCAAAUGGUAAUUUUAGCAAGAAUAUUUGGCGCCCACUGUAACACUCUUCUACCCCGCAUGCAAUUUUAACACAUAAUUUAAUAAAACUCACAACCGCAUAAGGUGUUACGCAUAUCACAAAUAAUUCCUGCUCCGUAACACGAAUUAGAAAAUAUCACAUAACACCUGUCAUCGCCUGCUCACCUUCAUUUAGGGUACCAUCGUAGUAAAAUCAUCACCCAGUUAGGUCAAACAUUUAAUAAUCACAGUUUGGGAAAUUAAAUCUCAUAACUUCAAACUUCAUAAUAUCUUAACAAGAAUUAUAAUGUUCAAUUCAUCACCAUUUAAAACCUCCUCAAACAUAAAUAGCAAUUUCAACAAGAAAAAAAAAUUAGAGCAAACGUUCCCAGCCCGAUGUUACAUUGACCAGAGCAAGACCCUACUAAAAUAACGAUAACGAAUAGGAAGUCACUCUAAGAGCUACCUUUCACUUACUACAGCAAGCUACUAAUGAGUAUCUGCACGAUGCCCAUGUAAAGGCAACAUUCAAACAGAAGCCGUGGGAAUAUACUUCAAUAAUUAACGGUGAAAACAAGCAUAAGUAAAUUAUCACAUAACAUCAUCAUCAUACAUAUUACUUAAUCAAUACCAACAUACUAAGUAUUCUCAUCCAAUACCACGUUAACAAACAAACAAUCAACACAGAUACAACUCUUAUGCAAUGUACUCAACACCGACUCGACGUGUAUGUGGUACCAAAUAUGAACACUCAGGUUCGUUUCGCUCCCCGAUCCCCACUGUAGGAUCAGAUUCCCUCUUGUAAUGGAGCACAUCAAAUCGCUACCAUCACCAUAGGUAAUACUUCACUAAUCCCCCAUAAUAGGAAUUAGCUACUCGCACCUGAUCCAUCAUCAUAGGAUCGAGGCUCACCAAAAAUGGACCGAAGUCCGUACACCAUGAUGCAUGACUCUCAAUUGAUCAUGCAACCAUCAUUCAUGUUAUAGUGUCAAUAACAUCAUGGUGUACGGACUUCGGUCCAUUUUUGGUGAGCCUCGAUCAUAUGAUGAUGGAUCAGGUGCGAGUUGCUGCUGUUUGUUAUUGAUACACCUCAUCAUUUAUGCAUCACAUCAUUCAUCAUGCAACCAUCAUUCAUGUUAUAGUGUCAAUAACAUCAACAAACAGCAGCAACUCAUCAUACAUGAUUCAACGGUAAUCAAUCAUAUCAUUCCGCCCUCAAAUAACACACAUCAUUGUAUUAAAUAUAAUGAUUCACUAAUUAAUCAAACAAGUCAUCAUAAACAUCUCUAUGGUUGACAGUUGACUAUUAUGAGUGUGACUUAGCGUUAUGAAGCCUAUAAGCAUUUUGAAAUAAAUUAGAAAAGGUUUCAUACUUGAAAAAUAAGUUUCUAAGCUUAUGCAGGGUGAGUUCGAGAUGCCUAAUAGGGGAGUUGAAUUACUUCCUAGGUCGUUAAAUCAAGCAACUCGAUGAAGGCACAUUCGUUUGUCAAACCAAGUAUUGCAAUAGCUUUCUAAAGAAAUUUGGCAUGGAAGAUGUAAAAUUGAUUGACACUCUGAUGCCUACAAACGGUAACUUGGAAAGGAAUGAAAAUAGUAAGGAUGUUGAUGUGAAAAAGUAUAGAGGUAUGAUUGAUUCUCUUCUAUAUCUCACUGCAUCUAUGCCAAAUAUUAUGUUUAGUGUCUAUAUGUGUACCCGUUAUCAAUCGGCUCCUAAGGAAUCUUAUUUAAAAUCCGUUAAAUGCAUUCUUAGGUAUCUUCAUAGUACUUCUAAGUAUGGACUUUGGUAUUCCAAGGGAAUUGAUUGUAAUUUGGUAGGUUAUACCUAUUUCGAUUUUGUCGGUUGCAAAUCGGAUAGGAAGAGUAUUAGUGGAACUUGCCACAUAUUUUCAAAUUCCUUAAUUAGUUGGCAUAACAAGAAACAUGUUUCCGUUGCUUUGUCAACUGCCGAGGCGGAAUACGUAGCAGCCGGUAGUUAUUGUGCUCAAAUUUUGUGGCUUAAACAACAACUACUUGAUUUUGAUAUUAAACUACAACGUAUUCAUAUUAUAUACGACAACACUAAUGCCAUUAAUCUAACCAAAAACCUGGUGCUACAUUCUCACACUAAGCAUAUUGAGAUUCUUCACCACUUCAUACGCGAUCAUGUUGAGAAAGGCGACGUCGUAUUUAAGCAUUUUGAUAAUAAAAAUCAACUUGCGGAUAUUUUUACAAAACCACCUGCGACCGAACCAUUUUUCAACAUUCGAAGAGAACUAGGGAUUCUUGACAUCUCAAAUCUUGUCUAAAUAUGAUUUUUCGCAUGCACUAUCUCUAUAUAUGUUGUUUAUCUAACCUUCUUUAGAAGUUAUAUUACAUAAGAGUGCAUUCUUCAUCAAUUCAUAAGCAAGGUAUUAUGUUCCCUUUUCCCUUUUAUGUGUAAGCUUUUUCUUUUGUAUGUUGUUAUGUUCCAAAUGAUUGAUAUUCUUGACGUAUAAGAUAGUUCAUGAAUGUUCACUUCCAAAAAUAUCUAAUUGAUGUAUGUCAAUUUAUAUGUUUAUACUGACUUUAUGUUUAUCUUCUUCAUGCUUGAAAUAUAUAGUUGGUGUAUUGGUUUGUUAUAUAUUGUCUCAUGAAUUAUGAUUGAACAUGUUAUAAUGUUAGAAAAAUUCUUGUUGUGUGUUAUUGUUAUGUUUUCAUCUAUGUUUUUGCUUUGAGUGGUGGUAUAUUUUAUCGCCUUGCUAGAGCACAUGCGUGUGUAACAUUUCGGGAGCAUUAAAGGCAUAUGUCAUAUAAUCAUGUCGCUUUUGUAGCAACUCAAUUUUUUUAUCACAUUGUAUCCUUCAUUCAUUUUUCAUUUUUCAUUAUAUGUUUAUUUUAGAAAAAAUGUUUUAGUAUAAAAUUAUAAGUUAUUUUCCGACAUCAAUAAAUAAUUAUUUUUUUUCUAUUACACCCAUAAAUAUUUAUUAUUAUAUGUUUUUUUUUUAAUUUUAAUUUAUCUCACUCAUUAAUGAAUGCUACUAGUUUUUGAAUUUACAAGGGUGUGGGAUGCAUAUGUAAGGGUGAAAAGAGCAACCCUCGGAAACAAAUAUCAAUGAAUAACAUCUUGCAAGAUAAACCACCAAAGAUAUUGACACUCAUAAUAACAAACCUCAGGAGUAAAACCAUUUUCUAGCAUGCGCUCCUCAUUGAUGAUACCCUUAAUCAAAAUAGAUUACCAUCAACAGUCUCAAGGGAAUAAACAUUGUGUCUUUUGAGAUCAGGAGAAGAAUUAAACACCUGAACCGUUUCUCCCCCGAAUCACAAUAUUAAAUGUGUGUUUGUUAAAAUGUUAUAAACCACUAUAACUGAUUUAAUAUUUGUCAAAAUAUUUAUUCCAUUUCAAUAAAAACAAUUACGUUCCAUUAGCUUGAAUCUUCUACUCCAAGUUAACUUUUAGAGUUAAAACAUACAAAGAAUAAGAAUAAAUUAUACAAAAUUCAUUUAUAAUCUGAUAAAAUUUAAAAAAUCACCUAAGGUGUAACUUUUGUCAAAGAUCAAUUUCUAGUUUUAUACAAUAAUCAAUUAUUUUGACUAAGCUAUUAAAAAUCACGCUUGAAAAGAGGUCACACAAACGAGUAUAUGCAUAAUGUUUGAAUAAUCACACAAUAUUCAACAACAGAAAGUGAUAGUGAAACGUCAAAGAUAUGAAAAUCCUAACAUAGUACUGGAACUUACUUUCUUGAAGAAAUGGCGGAGAUGGAUAGACGAUUCUGUGGGAAUUUAACAAGCCACCAGUCGCAUAAUGUAACCCAGAGUUGGAUUGAAAGGGAAGAAGUGGGAUUAGAGAGAAUAAUAAUAAUAAUAAGAAGAAGAAAGAAUGAAAGGGGAAAGUUAGUAAACCGUUGCUAGGAAGCAAGAGUAUGUGCGAGUGUCAUUAGAAGUGGUUGCUUCUGGAGUGGAGUUAGCCAUAGAAAACUACACUCUUUCGGACACACCGCAGUGUAACUUAUUUUGAUUUGAUGUGAAUCCCUCUAUAAAUACUAUGCUAUUGUAUAAUUGUAUCUCCCUAUUCCUUCAGAGUGAAAUGUGUGUUGUUUUUGUAUUUGAUUUUUAUUUGGUGUGAAUCCCUCUGAACACCUAUGCGUUUAUGCGUUGCCAACGAAUUUCAAAUCAUAUCCUACUGAAAUCAAAUAAUAAUAUAUUUUGAAUUUCAAAUCAUAUCCUACUAUAAUCAAAUAAUAAUAUAUUUUAUUAGUUAAUCAAUUAAUUAAUUAUACAUCUAAUAAUUAAUAAAACGCGCAAUUUUUUCUUCCCCAUCUUCUUCAUUCAUUUUAAUAUUUGUGCAAGAGAGGUUGAUUAACACACUGAACAUAACUCAAAGAAACAAAAUCAUAGUUGACAUAGCUAAGAAUGACAUUCAUCAAAUAAGGAUAUAUCUCAAAUAUAAGAAGAAAUACAUGGCAAAUGCAACAAAUAUGCGCAAUACGACGUUAAACUAACCAACAACAAAACUAUACGUGAUCAAGAUAAACAUGAAUGAAAGAUUAAAUAAUGCAUAAACAAAUCACAAAGAUGCUAGAAAUGCACAUAAGUAACAUGAUGCACUUAAAAGUAUUUUUAAUGCACAAUAACAAGUUAUACAAUAACUUAGAAAUUAAUGAACGAAAAAUAACAUAUAAGAAAUAAUCAAAUAGACAUAUAGAAUAAAAUGCAAAGAUUAUACAACUAAAGAUAGAAGUUUUAAGGAUCAUACCAAUAAUGUUGUUUUAUAUGUAUCUUCUACAUGAAAAUCUUAGUUUACAACAACAUAAAUGUAGCAAGAAGAUAUAAAUCUACUUAUAACACGAAGAAUAUAAGAUUCCCGAUUCUUUAUGUAUCUCACAAAAAGGUUUCAUGGUUAAAAUUUUGUAAGAGUAUCAGUCAAUUGAUUUUUCGUAUCCAUAUACUUAAAAGUAGCAUCGCCCUUUUCAACAUGAUAUCUUAGUUUAAGACACUUGUUUUUCUUCCUCGUGUUUGAUUUCCUCUUUAUCUUUCUUAAUGUCAUCUUCUUCCAUAGGUUCUUAUUUGAGAGUGUUAUCUUUAACCAAUCAUUUAGUUAUCACACCUAAAACAUCACAGCCAAAAAGAAUACUUUUCUACAACAUACACGCGUGCACACACGUGUGCACACACACACACACACGCACACAUAUACACACAUACACACACAUACACACAGACACACACACACACGCACAUGCGCCCGCGCGCGCACUCAUAUGCACACGCACGUGCAUGCACCCAUACACACGCACACCUGCACACCCUCUCUCUCUCUCUCUCUCUCACACACACACACAUACACAUGUACACACACACACACAUGAAGCUACACAAAAUAUACCUGAGCACGUCGCAUGCUCAAAGAUACAACAAAGUCGCCAUCAAACUGUAUUUAUUCUUGGAGGAAAGAGAAAACAUCGAUAAAACCCGGGGGAAAGAGAAAAAGAGUAAGGAUGUCGGUUACGCAAGGAGAAGGUAUUAGCAUCUCUCACACCCAUUGAACUCAAUGGAAACCAUUUCGAUUGUUCUUUGCAAGAACGGGUGUUACUAUAUAAAGAUUACUCGCAAAAGGAGAAAAAGGUUUGAAUAAUAAAUGUGAAAAAAGAAAAUAAUAAUUAAUGUGAAAAAAAGAACAAUAAAUAAGUGUGCUCGCCAAGGAUUCGAUCCCUUGUGCCUACGUAUCCUCAUCGUGAAAUAAGGAAAUCAGAGCUCUGUAAUUCGUGGUAGAAAAUACGGAUGCGUUAAUCGUUUUUAAUGAACAGUGUUAACAUUCGUGUUCUAUAGUCAACUUGCUUGUAUGCUCGAGCAUGUGAGACUUAAGCGUUUGUUUGUUUGCGACAGAAUGGAUACACUUGGAUCACACUCUAGUAGUUAAUUACUUGUAUGCUCACACAUGGAGGCUUGAGCUUUGUUCACGGUAUAACGAAAGUAACACGUCCUUUCUGACAAGGUUUUUAACAGAAAAUGAUGCCCAAAGGAAAAAUUGAGUUUGAUGAGUUGACUUUGCUUUUAUUAUGAAAAAAAAGUCUUGAUUAGAACUGUACUAAAGUCUAUGAAUGGAUAUGAAUACGAUGAGCAACUGGGUCAUUCAUCCCGUACCCUAAGAUAUUCAUAACGAGGAUAAGAAUACUCCUUAUCACCCCUGAUCCAUUGCUUAAGGCUCAUGGCAUACAAUUGUAAUCCUAUUGUUAAUUAUUUUGAGCUUAUCACAAAAUGGUUUUAGUUUUACCGAAACAAAUAAAACAAAGGGGAAAAGAAACCCUAGAAGGUUGAAAGCUCGAUCUUCAGUCUGCAUCCCACAUCUAUGUAGAAAGACUUGUCAAUUAUUUGAUUUAAAUUGCACUAAAGUCUAUGAAUAUAGGUGAAUACGAUGAGCAACUAGGUCAUUCGUCCCGUACCCAAAGAUAUUCAGAAUGAGGAUAAGAAUUCUUCCUCUCAUCCCUUCUCUACUACUAAAGGAUCAUGACGUGCUAUUUGCAUCAUAACUGAUGAGUGUUGAAGUUGAACCUUUGUAGCGCUUGAACUGCAGUCAAGUUUGUAUUGUACUGACUUGUAUUAAAUGAAGUCUUGAACUCGAACUUGAAUCUUGCCUUGAGCUCCUGAGAUCUAGUACCUUUUCGAUAAGAGGACUUUCCCUAUAAAGUGAUCAAGGGUCUUUUGAUCACUUGAACAUGCUUGAGGAAUUGAGCACAAUGCAAAUGAUUUGGUUGAUGAAAGUAAACUUUGAUGAACACAACCAAUGGGAAUGGAAAUGAUCAUUUGAAUUAAGUACACAACAUAACCAAAGGGUUAAUCAUUCAAUUUACACCGAAUGAUUUUACAAGCCCUAAACUAGGGGAAUAAUGCAUAUCAGGAUAUUCUAAACCCUAGGGGUACUAAAGUCGGUGUGGACAAAUGGAUCAAUUAGGGAACAUAUUCUAAAAAAUAAAAAUCUAAUUAAAAUACUAAUCAAGCCUAAUUAUAUCCUAAUUAUAUCACAAUUGUUUCUAAUUAUAACCUAAUUAUUUCGAUUAUUUCGAAUGAUCACAUGAUAGAAAAAAAUUAAGCUAACAAAUAUUAACAGAGGAUUAAUUGUUUAUAUACACAAAAGUGUGAAAAAAUCAGAAUCAGAAAAUUAAAUCAGAAAUCAAUUAAAACUAAUUAAGCUAGAUAAAUUAAUUGGAAUUAAAUUAAUGAACACGAAGGAAGAGAGGGUGUGUAUGCAUGGAUUAAGGAGUGUAUGUGAAAUCGUUUGGGCCUGAAGCCCAAACAGGUCCAACUCUUCAACCGGUAAACGGGUCCAAAACGGAUCUGAAAACAGCAACGUAACACCAAGCCUUCAUUAACAAUUUUCAAACCUCACUUCUUCUCGCUCAAGAACGAAACUGAAACAAACAAAGGUGAAGAAAAAAAGGCUCAAAAAUCACUUCAAUCUUCGAAAUCAACAUCCAUCAUUCAAUUCAAUUCAUCUGGCGCACGCGGAAUCAAAAAGAAAUGAAAACGAAUUUGAAGCAAGAACUCAAUGAAUCAGAGUUUCGACAUGAACAGGUACCGAAUCUCCUCCCUUCUCUGUUUCGAUUCCUCCUUCUCAAAUUCUUCUACUACCAUGUGCGUUGAAUCGAGAGCAGUUGUAGCGGGGAAUUGAGAAUUGAGAGUUGCAGCGAGGAGUGAAAAUCGUGAGAGAUUAUGAGAGUUGCGAAUAACAAUGAAAUCGUGAGUUUGAAGAGUGAAAAAUUAUUUAGAAUGAAAAAUGAAUCGUGAAAAUUGAAGAAAUGAAAAUCGCCAGUGAUGAAGGUUGCAGGGUUAGCUUAAAUAGGAUGAAGAUGUUUGAUCCGUUGAUCUUCAUUAAUUCAUUUUUGUCAAUUCUAUUGAAAGUUUUUAACACUGUGAAUUAGUUAGUUGGUUAGUGUGAACCUAUUAACCGUUAGUUUGAAUUUUGGAGUGAAGUUAAACGUGAGUUGUUGUGAAGAAAAAUUAGAAGAGUUAAUCGGUUUUGAAUCUGUUAAUUUAGCUAAGUGAAUGCUAUGGUUAGUGAAAAUGAAUGAAAUUAGUUUUUUUUGAAGAGUGAAGUUAGUGAUGGAAAUUGGUUCUGUUAAUUUUUGCAGGGCCAAUUGAAACUGGCUUUAUUAGAAUUUGAUGCGAAUUGGAAUUUGGCUUGUGAAACUAAUUGGCUGCAUUUGGCAAUUGUUUUUGCAGGUGAAUGAGUUUGGAAGGUUUUUGGAAUAUUGUUGAUCAUAAGCUAUGCUUGGAAUGGAUUUGGAUUGUUAUAUUGACUUGAUUGUGUUGUAAUUUUGAAGUUGAAAUAUGUGAAGUGUAUUGAAUACUGUAACUUGUAAUCAAUGGUUGAAUGUUGGUUUGUGGUAUUGAAUAAUGUACAUGGAAUUGAAUGAAGAUGAAUGUAUUUGGGUAUUGAACAUGUAUGGCUUAUGUAUUUGAAAAUGGAAAUUGAAUGGUUGAAUGAAAUAUUGGAAUCAAUAGCUUAUGUAUGAAAUCGUUUGGUUAGUUUAAUUGUUAGAUUGAUUGGCUAUGGUGAAA